This 127-nucleotide ribosomal RNA is filed under the name Leucobryum javense. RNAcentral's name for it is "partial 26S rRNA". It matches the Rfam family "Eukaryotic large subunit ribosomal RNA", at positions 1 to 127 of the family's 3401-position model. RNAcentral also lists the same sequence under 1 other name. The record is from RNAcentral. Lineage: Eukaryota; Viridiplantae; Streptophyta; Bryopsida; Dicranales; Leucobryaceae.
AGACCUCUGAUCAGAAAAGACUACCCGCUGAGUUUAAGCAUAUCACUAAGCGGAGGAGAAGAAACUAACCAGGAUUUCCCUAGUAACGGCGAGCGAACCGGAAAGAGCCCAGCUUGAAAAUCGCGGC